GGGCAUAUGGUCUAGUGGUAUGAUGCACCCUUAGCAUGGGUGAGGUCCCCGGUUCAAUUCCGGGUUUGUCCA
This 72-nucleotide transfer RNA is filed under the name Hortaea werneckii EXF-2000. Its description in RNAcentral is "tRNA-Ala (AGC) (tRNA-Ala-AGC-1 1 to 3)". It matches the Rfam family "tRNA". Rfam says of the family: Transfer RNA (tRNA) molecules are approximately 80 nucleotides in length. Their secondary structure includes four short double-helical elements and three loops (D, anti-codon, and T loops). The record is from RNAcentral. Lineage: Eukaryota; Fungi; Ascomycota; Dothideomycetes; Mycosphaerellales; Teratosphaeriaceae.